RNAcentral lists this ribosomal RNA (513 nucleotides) under uncultured bacterium. RNAcentral describes it as "partial 16S ribosomal RNA". It matches the Rfam family "Bacterial small subunit ribosomal RNA", at positions 28 to 523 of the family's 1533-position model. The record is from RNAcentral.
GACGAACGCUGGCGGCAUGCCUAAUACAUGCAAGUCGAGCGAACAGAUGAAGUGCUUGCACUUCUGACGUUAGCGGCGAACGGGUGAGUAACACGUAAGGAAUCUACCUAUAAGCGGGGGAUAACAUUCGGAAACGGGUGCUAAUACCGCAUAAUAUCUUCUUCCGCAUGGAAGAAGAUUGAAAGACGGCUCUGCUGUCACUUAUAGAUGACCUUGCGGUGCAUUAGUGAGUUGGUGGGGUAACGGCCUACCAAGACGAUGAUGCCUAGCCGACCUGAGAGGGUGAUCGGCCACAUUGGGACUGAGACACGGCCCAAACUCCUACGGGAGGCAGCAGUAGGGAAUCUUCCGCAAUGGGCGAAAGCCUGACGGAGCAAUGCCGCGUGAGUGAAGAAGGCCUUCGGGUCGUAAAACUCUGUUAUAAGAGAAGAACAAAUUGUAGAGUAACUGCUACAGUCUUGACGGUAUCUUAUCAGAAAGCCACGGCUAACUACGUGCCAGCAGCCGCGGUAA